CACAAAUAAGUAUGUUUAAGGAAAAAUUACUAUUUUCCAAAACCAAAUGAAAAAAGUUUUAGUGUGAAGAAUGGCAUCAUGUUAUGUAAUUGGGAAUCUCUUUAACUCCUCGCUUAAUAGAAGCAGCUAGAUUGACACCUCGGCUUCUGUAGUCAGUCUGCUGCAGUAUUUUGUUUUAGUUGAAGUUGAUGGAGAAAACCUGCCUCACCCAGAUGUGCAGCUGGGAGCACCUCACAGAUCCCCUAAAAGGGGUUUGCCUCCCACCCACUCCAGAGGGUCCUGGAUUUGCUGGCCUCAGCUUCCUGGAGGCAGUGUCAGCUCAUAGAGCUCCACAGUGAUGGGGGAGGCUGGACCUGGGAGAUGCUGACAACCAUUAGAAGAGAAGAGGACCCAGCUCCCAGACUGUAUAAUGGGAAGCUGAUCAAACUUGGCUCCUGGCAAGUUUUUCUUUGGUGCAUUGUCAUUAGCUAAGCACAAGUCUAUCAACCAACUUCAAUAUGAGUGCUGCUGUACCGACUGAAGAGGAAUCUCUCAGUCCUUGGUCUCUGCCACUGACACACUUACGUUUUUGAGGAAACUCUCCAUCUGCACUUAGCUGGAUCAGCUGCACAAGCAUUACACCCUAGGAGUGCAGUGGAAUCCAUGCAAAGUCCAGCCACCGGAACUGGAGCAAGGACAGCAGGUGGGACCUCCACCCAGGAGGGGAACUCUAGAGGUAUGCCACCAAAACAAGCCAGUACUGCCCCCAAACAAGCUGGCACCUGUUUCUGUUACUUAUCAAGACCCCCACUCAGCCUAGGGUAGCUAGGACUGAGAAAGGAUGUGG
Long non-coding RNA from Manis javanica (Malayan pangolin), 826 nucleotides. RefSeq lists it as uncharacterized. NCBI's taxonomy places the organism in Eukaryota, Metazoa, Chordata, Mammalia, Pholidota, Manidae. The record is from RefSeq and is a predicted model, not a curated record.